Zingiber officinale is the source of this 4359-nucleotide long non-coding RNA. RefSeq lists it as uncharacterized. NCBI's taxonomy places the organism in Eukaryota, Viridiplantae, Streptophyta, Magnoliopsida, Zingiberales, Zingiberaceae. The transcript is spliced from 2 exons. The record is from RefSeq and is a predicted model, not a curated record.
AAAUUCUGCCUAAAAACUCUGCCAAAAAUUGGGGGUGGUGAAAGUUAUUUUAUCCCUGGUACCCCUUUCAAGAAAAUAAACCUUCCAUCCUCGCAAUUCUUCUUCCUCCUUCGUGAUCCAUGUCGAGACCCUUUUUUUCUUUCUUCCUUCCUCAAAGAACAUAUCAUCGUCUGCUGCUUUCCAACUUCUGAGUGUGCGAGGCGGAGAUAGAUCUAUUCUAGAAUGGAGGUGGCCAUGGAUUUGAUGUGGAGGAUCUCACCAAAGGAGAGCGAGACUACUCUCUCCUCCUUGAUGUCCCUGAUCCCUCACCAUUCCACCGACCUUCUCUUGCAAGUCGACCUUCCUCUCCAGGUCCUCGCCUCUCGUUCGUUUCUCUUUUGUUUCUUAUCUUCCAUGUGGUUUCUAAUUUGCCUCUUGAAGUCCCUAAUCCCUCACCAUUUUGCUUUUGAUAUUUGGGAAAUUCCCCUUUUUAUAAGAGGGAGAGGUAGCUCUUUCUACCUCUUGUUUCUUUCUCCCAUUUUUUUGUCUACGUAGUUCGUGUUUCGGUUUGUUUGUCUUUUCUGGUUCUUAUUGAGAUAAAUCUGUGUCUAAUGUCAUAUAAAUGCCUCGAUUUAGUAAAUCUAGUCUCCUUUUCGUAUUAACUCUUGAUUUUUUUGGAAGAAACUCUUGUUUGACCUUUUUUUUUUUUUUUGGCAUUUUCAAUUCUGUCUUCGAUAUCUCUUAUUACAAUGUCUGCAAAGUUAAACUUUUCUUCCAUAUUUACUGUAACUGAGAGAAAAUUGUGAUUUCUUGUGGGUACAAACUAAUUGCCAAAUUCCAACAGUUUCAACUUAAUCUGAAACAACCAUCUGCCAAAUUCCAUCCAUUUUUAAUUUGCUAAAUGAUAAUAUGUUAUGGCCGCUUAAUGCAAAUAUCUGUGUUAGAUUUGUACCAAAAGGAUUCUAAAGUUCUUGUUUUUCUUUCUAAUGUAAUUUUUUAAAGUGUGUAUGAAAAAUGUCUUGAUGAAAGAGUUUAUUUUGUGUGAAUACAACAGAGAUGCAGAUUCAUAUAGGUAAACUUUAUCUAUUUGAGUCUCAAUAUAUUUUAGGAUUAUGCCAUUGUAAUUAUAUAUUCGUACAGGUAAACUUUAUCUAUUUGAGUCAAAAAGUAGCGGACGAUGAUAUGGUACACAUCCUUUGCAUGCUUUUUUAUCAUGAUUUACUAUCAUUAAUAAUGAUUUAGCUGUAAAUAUUACGUUCUUUAUAUUUUGUGUUUAAUGAUGCAUAAAGUUCCAUGUAGCCAAUUCUAAAUAGUUGAAUGGUCAUGGUUUCUACUUUUUUAUAUAUUUUUUUUGAAAGAAGAAGCCUGUUUCUUACCUUGAUGAAUCAAGUAACAGAUAUGCAUUUUUUUUUUAACACAAUACUUACCUUAAAGGUGUUGCCAUAGUGAUCAAGGUUUGACUAAGUUAAUGUGUCAUAAUGAUCAAAGAAAUCUAUUACUAAAAAUUUUCUAAAGUAUCUGCUUACUGCCUCCCUCAUUUACUAUUGAAAAAAAUUGAGCCUUCCAUGGAGCUAGCUAGUCAUUACCUCUAUGAAUAUGGUGAAUCCAUUAGAUUUUGUUGCUAUUAUUGUUUGCAAUUGAGAUGUGCUAUUAUUUUGGUACUACAUAGCUUUGAUAAUAUUUUUUGAUGAUGUUUCUUACAUCUCUCAUUUUGUGGAAGUAUAUUGUCAAGGAUCACUCUUUAAUUCUGGUUAGUCUUAUCAUUAUUGUUAAUCUAUGUAGUUUCUGUAAUAUGAUGCUCAACCUUUAUUUAUACUAAAGAGAAUUUUCUGUCAUCUAGCAGCUGUAAUACUAUGUAAUCUUACAUGGCUACUACUAUGAGUUAAACUUGAUAGCAAUAUUAACUUUAUAUAGCUCAUUUUAUCUUUUAUUUUUUUUCUUAAGCUCUUCAUUGGUUUGGAUGAAUGCUUUGGUUUAUGCAAUGUGCUUUGCUGAUGCUACAAGUUAUCUUACUAGGUUGAAUGUCUUGGCAACAUCUUUUUUUGCAAAUUGUGAAUGGAUGAAUUAUCUAAACUAAUAUGACUUGAUUUUACUCAAUUCAUCAGAGUUAUCACUAGCAUAUGCAAAACUAAUACAGUAUUUGAGUGUAUUUAAAGGAUAUACUGGUAAUUAUCUACUCACCCUAAAUUUCAUGUGAUUGUAUUCUCCAGUCUUUCUUAUUCACUUGACUGAGAUGUUUGAAGCGAAAUAAUUUUCUUUCUUCCUAUUAUGUGACAAUAUUUUCUUUCUUCCUCAUAUCCAUUAAUUUUUGUCUUAUGAAACAUGUUAUCAGUUCCUCUCAUUUCCGUUCAGAGGAAUUUAAUGCACUGAAGCUUGCAGAAAAGAAUUUUUUUUUUUUAUCAAAUCAACACAUCUAGCUUCUUAAGCUAUAGCUUCUUCAUGAGUAAGCUUUACACAGGUAUGUUGUUGAAUUUUUCUUCAUUGCCUCUAGUUGACUAGUUGGAAGAUCAUCUAUUGUAAGGUUCUAGGUAUUUUAUUCUGGAUGGACCUGAUCCAGGGGAAAUUUGAAGGUUGCUCAACAAAUUUGUGUUAAGUUUGGAGUUCUUGCUUCAUCUAUUUCUGGAGUGGAUAUGGACCUUAAGACAGAGGCUGGUCUUCAAAAUGCAUGAACUUUACUUGCAGCAAAUUAGUUUAGCCAAGUAUCUCAUCGUCACUAUUUUUACUUUUACUGAUAUUUGUAUGGUUUCUUGGUUGGGGAUUGAGGCAAGAGUCAAAUAUGGAUUUAUUUUGAUUGAUGCUUUCUGAUUUACUAGCAUGUCAUACUGAAGUACAAGCUCAUAUUCACAUAGGAAAAUGUGUUAAUCAAUUGAUAUUUAGUUUAAUCCAAUUUAAUAGGCUUAUAGGUUGGUAGAUCAUGAACACAAAUAGUGCCAUCAUUAUUUCUUAUUAAUAAUUUGCUUAAUCCCAUUUGAUAGUUAUGCUUGAAUUGCUGGAAUGAAUAAAUCUGCCAUGUAUAUACAUCUAAUAAGUACUAAUUAGGCAACUACAAUUACAAGCAAUCUGUUCUCCCAUGCUAUAUGUUUAACAUGCAGAUUGAGAAUGCCAUUGUUCUUCUUUUUCUUGCUGAAAUUCAUAAGGUAAAAAAACACAUGACCUACUGAUUUCUUUUUGAAUUCCCCCAUAGUGAACCUAUCUUCUACCCUUUUGAUUUUGUUAGAAAGCUGGUGGCACUGUCUUUGGGCUGUCUUAUACAUUAGCAAUUUUAUCAUUCUACAAAAUAUUUAAUUUAGAUUUGCAACCUUUUUCAAUCUCAGCUGAAGAGUUUUUCUCCCAGUGGAAAUCAUUAUCAUGACCACCUAUGAAGCUUCAAGAAGUGGUGAGUAUCCGGAUGAACCUAUAUUUCUUUUUGCCAUUUUUUCUAUAAGUUUGUCUGGAAAAACAUAACUAAGGGUCAAGUUUACUUUAAUGACUCGUUCAAAACUAUUCUCUUUUGCUUGUUUGGUCUUUUACCGCUGACAUAGUGCAUGAAUGUAAUUUAUUUUUGAGGCAAUGCUUAAAGAUAAUUAAAUGUGUAUCAGCAGAUUCUAAGAAGAUGAAAGUUAGUAGCUCCUAAAUUCUAAAACAUUGCUCCCAAGAGUUAAUUGCUUGUGUUACGGGUUUUUAAAUAAUACAGUGAGAUCUAUAUGAAAAGUUUUUAACUUUUUUUAUAUAUUUAUAAUUCAUAGGAUAAUAUAUUUAGUGUAUUAGUGUAUGAUAGAUAGAAAACUCAUGGUUGCAUAUAAUAAAUAUUAUGAUUAGUUAUUGCUUUUUAAGUUCCUUAAGUUACAGCAUGGUCGAAACAAAGAAGGGUCUCGACAAGGAGGAAGAUCAUUUCCAGGCUGCUGUUUAUGGUGUUGGUGUUUGUGCUGAAUUUGGUAGUUAUUUGUUUCGUCCUUUGGUGUUGGUGUUUCUCUUGAAGUACUCAUUGUAUGUUUUAUUGUUGUUAUCCUUCAUUGAGUGUUUAUAGACAACAUUGCCUUUUAUAAUUUUUUUUUCAUUAAAUUUGUCUCUCUUAUCUUUUCAAUGGAUGAUGAAGCUAGAGUUACGGAGUUUAAUCUCAAAUUCAUGUGGAGAAGCCCCAAUGAGACUAAGGAACAUUUUAAAUGAUUACAUGUUGGCACUUGGGCAGAGCUUGGACGGUCAAGUAAUAUGUGUAAAUGUUGUAGAGGAGAGGCCACGAUGUGCUUUUUGAUAUCGAAAAAUUGAAAUAUUAUUUGUCAGAAGGAUUUUGGUGACAAAAUAUCGUUGUAUGAAUUUAUUUUUGAUGAUUGUUUACUUUACAGUAAUGUACUCUUUGUAUAUGUGGUAAAGAGUUAAUAUGAUUUGCUAUAAGUUUGUAUA